CCUGACGGUAGUCGUAUGCUCGUCUCCGAGACUAAGCCAUGCAAGUCCAAGUACACGUCCUUGAACGACGGAAACUGCGAACGGCUCAUUAAAUCAGUUGCGAUCUACUCGGCGUUCCGCGCCGCCGGAUAACCGUAGUAAUUCUAGGGCUAAUACGUGCGAAGCGCCCGAAGCCGCGAGGCGACGGGCGUUCUCGCCGGAUGUAGGAACCGACCCGGGGACCGCCGGGGCAACCCGGCGCCCCCGAGACGGGGCGAACCACGGUGAAAUGACGGAUCGUCGGCCCCGCGCCGGCGACUCGCCGAAUGAGUUUCUGACCUAUCAACUCGAGACGGCGGGGUAGAGGCCCGCCGCGGUAACGACGGGUAACGGGGAAUCAGGGUUCGAUUCCGGAGAGGGAG
This 401-nucleotide ribosomal RNA is filed under the name uncultured eukaryote. RNAcentral's name for it is "bacterial SSU rRNA". It matches the Rfam family "Eukaryotic small subunit ribosomal RNA", at positions 13 to 394 of the family's 1831-position model. The record is from RNAcentral.